UGGGGAAUUUUGGACAAUGGGGGAAACCCUGAUCCAGCCAUCCCGCGUGUGCGAUGAAGGCCUUCGGGUUGUAAAGCACUUUUGGCAGGAAAGAAACGUCACGGGUUAAUACCCCGUGAAACUGACGGUACCUGCAGAAUAAGCACCGGCUAACUACGUGCCAGCAGCCGCGGUAAUACGUAGGGUGCAAGCGUUAAUCGGAAUUACUGGGCGUAAAGCGUGCGCAGGCGGUUCGGAAAGAAAGAUGUGAAAUCCCAGAGCUCAACUUUGGAACUGCAUUUUUAACUACCGGGCUAGAGUGUGUCAGAGGGGGGUGGAAUUCCGCGUGUAGCAGUGAAAUGCGUAGAUAUGCGGAGGAACACCGAUGGCGAAGGCAGCCUCCUGGGAUAACACUGACGCUCAUGCACGAAAGCGUGGGGAGCAAACAGG
Molecule: ribosomal RNA, 429 nt
Filed under: Acidobacteriota bacterium
Lineage: Bacteria; Pseudomonadati; Acidobacteriota
Description: Acidobacteria bacterium partial 16S ribosomal RNA
Rfam family: Bacterial small subunit ribosomal RNA
Source: RNAcentral